UGCCCAUUCUGGCGUGCCCUGUUGCCGCGAGAAUCCUGCGGAAACCGCGCUCUAAGUUUCUGGGGCGGAUGAGCUGGCUUUCAGGCCCAACCUCGCGAGAGUUGGACCUGGUGUGCCUGAGACUACUAUAGCGGCGGGACUUUCUCUGACUUAGUGGCAGACAUCCUGUUUCCUUUUAACGACAUUGAGCUUCUACCUGUGUGAGGAUCACUGGUAGACACUACAGUGAUUGGAAACGGGUGCACCAUUGCAGUGGCUGACAGCUUGGUGGUGGGCAGCCUGUUUCUCUCUUUCCUGAGCUCCCUCUGGGCUGAACAGUGGCUGAUGGCUUGACGGCUGCAGUAUCACGUGUUUGCUGAUGUGGCAAGUGACAUUUUACAUUCACAGACAUGUGCAUAAAAUGUUACGAGCACAGAUGAGGGCAAGAUUGGCUCUUUCUGGAGGAGCUGGAAAAGCUUCAUCUCAUUUCAACUGUUCAACUUGGAUGGUUUUUAUUCAGCUUUGUAUCACCCAUGGUAAAUGUUGAGGUACAACAGAGCAUGACCUUUGAAGUUAGACUUGGUUUUCUCUCUUGAUUUCCUUUCUGUCUUUCUUUUUUUUUUUUGCCAUCAUGCCACAAGACUUGCUGAUCGAACCUGGGGCCAGGCAGUUAAAGCACUGAGUCCUAAUCACUGAACCGCCAGGGAAUUCCCCAUAUCUGGUUUGUAGUACUUGCUUUUCCACUUAAUUGACAGCAGUCCUUGAACAUAUUAACAUCUUUGAGCCUCAAUUUCCUUACCUGUAAAAUAGUAAUAACAUCAACUACAUGAAACCAUUAUGAAGAUUAGAGUAUAUUAUAAAACAUAUAAAACUGUGGCACACACAUUUGAACAAAUCCAACAUGCUAUUUUAUGUACUACUAAGAAAGAAAAUAACUAAGAAAACCAUGAUUGUAAGAUGCAUCUCAUCCAGAGGUGUUAAAAUGUAAUAAAAAGCAUUUAAAUUA
Long non-coding RNA from Bubalus bubalis (water buffalo), 985 nucleotides. RefSeq lists it as uncharacterized. The record is from RefSeq and is a predicted model, not a curated record. NCBI's taxonomy places the organism in Eukaryota, Metazoa, Chordata, Mammalia, Artiodactyla, Bovidae. The transcript is spliced from 3 exons.